UUAGGUCUUCUCUCAGGUAGUACAAGGAUACUUUAUUUGGUACCAUCAUGUGUUUUUCCCUUAUGCAUAUCAUUCUUUGUUCCACUACCAAUGCAUAUUCUUCUUUCAGUCAUCUCUAACAUUCUUCCUUUUUCACAAUUGAUUUGGUUUUUCACAUUCUUUGCUGCUAUUUCCCAUAGCUACAGAUGCAGGUGUCUACCUCAUUUUUAUCUGUGCUCCCUUCUAAGAAGUCACCGUUGAAAACAAAUGAAGGAAUAAAAAAGAUGCACAAGGAUGGCGUCGAUGGCGACGAAGUGGAUCUGAACGUGAUGAAGAUGGUGGCGCUACCACCACAAUUGUUGCCUCUCCGCCUCUUUUCAACUUUGUUUUUGUUGUGAAUCUGCAAUGCAAAUUAAAUUUCAAUAUGUUUUUUAUCAGGCAAUAGAUUAAGAACACGUUGAUCUUGAAAUAUCUAAGUACGGAAAUUUGGGAGUGACUUAUUUGGUCGUGAUACAUCCUCAUAUUUCCCCAUAUGGUCUUUUUACAUCUUGAAUUUUGAUACGGUCUUCUUUUAGUUCUUAUUAACAGGAAUUCUAGCUAGAGCAUGCAUAACUGAAAAGCUUGUGCAAAUAAUUGUAUGCCUUUUGGUGCGAUCUGCAUGCACUGGGCCUCUUACUUCAUGUUUGCAAUAUUUCAUAUAUAGGUGGCAAUAUCAGAAGAUUGGUUACUUGAAUAUGAGUGCAUCUACCACUACAUGGUGCUUCCAUUCGACCACCUGGGACACCUUUUAUGACAUGUUACUAUGUUGAAGGUGCAAUCAGUUUAUAACCAUGGACUGUUGAAGCAUGUGCCUUAUAAUCAGUACUUUCCUCAUUUGUAUCCAAUGGUUAUGUUUUACCAGAACCACGUACGUUUAUUCGCAUUUCAGGCUAUGGUCUUGCGGAACCAUGAAAAUAAGGUCCUGCAUGAGUUGUAUCUCUCCGUUUCCCUGUUGUUUCAGGAUGCAAUAGUUUAUUCGGAACUUACCAAUGUGUCUCCAGGUGUGUCAAUUGGCAAAAGUUUUGCCAGGCUAGGACAUCACUGGUCGUGUCAGGAAAUCAGUUUGGAAAUCCUCUUGGAAGGUGACCGAUGCGCGAGCGUUGCUGCAGAGUAGGUAGUCAAGAAGCAUGUUGCGGCCAUCGCUGCUGUCACCAGCACGCAACGCUGGAACCAAAACGGACGUGUGGAGCAUCAUGUGGAGGUCAUCGAUCAAGCGUGGGGAUGUCGGCUUUCCUUAGGCUUGGUCAUCAAAGCAUGUCUAUCGAGCGAGCAGUCAUUUAAUUGUGCAACAGUUGUUCUGACAAGAGAUGCUUGUGGAGGAAUAUCGGAGUGACUGCAUACUGACACAAGAAGGCUAGAACAAUGACUCGAAAAUCGGUUUUCUUGGUAUAGGCGAUGGAAGUGUACAAAAGUGCUAAAAUAAUGAUUGAUGGUCUAAUUGAGUGAAGAUAAAAGACUAAAAAGUUUUGAUCUACAUGCUACAAUCAAGCCAUCAGUAGAUCAAUAGGAAGGUGUGCACUUGAAAUUUGUCAUGACUUACUUCCAGGUGUUCCCUGCGGCCACUGCCUCCCCGUGCUCCGGUAAUUUUCGCAAAACAACAACUGCCUAGAACACAAAUUAGUAAGUUAGCUAACAUUCUAUGCUAGCUUUGCCAAAAAGAAAAGUACAAAUUUGUUAAAAAAAAUCUUUACUAUUUUGUAGAAUAAAGAUGUAUAGUUUUGCAGAAUCAAACAUACCCAACUUCUUCCGCAUCCUCGGUAACUUAGAUGUAUAAUCAAGAAACAAUUUUUUUGAACAAUUUCUUGAAUUGAACUAACUUUCAGUCAUAGCUUAAGCUAUCUUAAGGGUACAAUAACAAGAAAUCAUUACGGAAACAGGUUAUAGACACUAUUAUGUUCUGUUACUAUCUUUGAAUCUUGAAACCAAUAUUUAUGUUUUCUCGUAUUUGCGUUCAACAACGAUUUGUUAUAUUAUCACGAAGUUUGGUUCUUUAUUGACAUGCAGAAUCUGUCUUAGCAUUGUUGGCUGCUUCAUCAUGUUGGAGUGAUUUUUCUCAGGUCUCAUCAUCUCAACAAAUCACAUGUAGAAGAGAGAAGAAACUUGGCACAACUUUCAGCAAACAAUUAAAAUUAGAGGGAGAUAGGUACACGUCAAGAAAAAAACCUUGCUGUGUUGUCAAAAAGGAGAGGCAGCACAUCAAUAGUGGAACUGUGGGAAUGAUCCCUGGAGCGAAUAGUGGUUGGAUUUGUCGAGCAGCCCACAUGACAGGCAGUGUCGGCUGCCAUCCUCAAGAAUACCGUGGUGGCGCAUCCAGCUCUGGUUCCGGAGGUUCAUUGCCGCCCCGCGGAUAUUCAUCCCCUCUUCGCCCGAGCAGCGGUGGCAGGAUGCACUCUCAACAUCUACUGGUUCGUGGCUCUCAGAUGCGUGAGCGCUUUCCCCAAUAAAUGGUUGCAGGUCGGACAAGGCUCACAGAGUAAGUUGUGUAUGUAUGCUAUGCGACCUGGGCAGAAGGACAUGCUAGAUGUGAUGAAUCGGUGGCGCAGGCCAUGGGGAGCAUUGUAGUGUACUCGAUCUGCUUCAAUUGUACUCGAUCUGCUUGAAUUGGGGAAAGGUAGUGGCAAGUAGUAUCACAGGAGAGAAAGAAAAAGCUAGAAGGGGAUUUGACAGAAUGC
Non-coding RNA from Lolium perenne, 2690 nucleotides. Lineage: Eukaryota; Viridiplantae; Streptophyta; Magnoliopsida; Poales; Poaceae. The record is from RefSeq and is a predicted model, not a curated record.